Molecule: ribosomal RNA, 454 nt
Filed under: uncultured bacterium
Lineage: Bacteria
Description: bacterial SSU rRNA
Rfam family: Bacterial small subunit ribosomal RNA
Source: RNAcentral
UCCUAGUGGCGAACGGGUGGAGUAACGCGUAGGCAACCUGCCCUCCGGCCGGGGACAACACUCCGAAAGGGGUGCUAAUACCGGAUACGAAGUCUGUGCCGCAUGGUACGGAUUUGAAAGAUGGCCUCUAUUUAUAAGCUAUCGCCGGGGGAUGGGCCUGCGUCCGAUUAGCUGGUUGGUGGGGUAACGGCCUACCAAGGCGACGAUCGGUAGCCGGUCUGAGAGGAUGAACGGCCACAUUGGGACUGAGACACGGCCCAGACUCCUACGGGAGGCAGCAGUGGGGAAUCUUCCGCAAUGGGCGCAAGCCUGACGGAGCAACGCCGCCGUGAGUGAGGAAGUUCUUCGGAACGUAAAGCUCUGUUGUUCCUGACGAACCUCCCUUCUAUCAACAACGGAGGGGACUGACGGUAGGGAACGAGGAAGCCACGGCUAACUACGUGCCAGCCGCCGC